AUUGAACGCUGGCGGCAGGCUUAACACAUGCAAGUCGAGCGGGGGAAGGUAGCUUGCUACCGGACCUAGCGGCGGACGGGUGAGUAAUGCUUAGGAAUCUGCCUAUUAGUGGGGGACAACAUCUCGAAAGGGAUGCUAAUACCGCAUACGUCCUACGGGAGAAAGCAGGGGAUCUUCGGAUCUUGCGCUAAUAGAUGAGCCUAAGUCGGAUUAGCUAGUUGGUGGGGUAAAGGCCUACCAAGGCGACGAUCUGUAGCGGGUCUGAGAGGAUGAUCCGCCACACUGGGACUGAGACACGGCCCAGACUCCUACGGGAGGCAGCAGUGGGGAAUAUUGGACAAUGGGGGGAACCCUGAUCCAGCCAUGCCGCGUGUGUGAAGAAGGCCUUAUGGUUGUAAAGCACUUUAAGCGAGGAGGAGGCUACUUUAGUUAAUACCUAGAGAUAGUGGACGUUACUCGCAGAAUAAGCACCGGCUAACUCUGUG
RNAcentral lists this ribosomal RNA (485 nucleotides) under uncultured bacterium. Its description in RNAcentral is "partial 16S ribosomal RNA". It matches the Rfam family "Bacterial small subunit ribosomal RNA", at positions 30 to 507 of the family's 1533-position model. The record is from RNAcentral.